This 747-nucleotide ribosomal RNA is filed under the name uncultured bacterium. RNAcentral describes it as "bacterial SSU rRNA". It matches the Rfam family "Bacterial small subunit ribosomal RNA", at positions 28 to 776 of the family's 1533-position model. The record is from RNAcentral.
GAUGAACGCUGGCGGCGUGCCUAACACAUGCAAGUCGAGCGAAGUUUAGAGGAAGUGCUUGCACGGAAUCGAAGACUUAGCGGCGGACGGGUGAGUAACGCGUGAGCAACCUACCUUUCACAGGGGAAUAACAACGGGAAACCGUUGCUAAUACCGCAUGAUAUUAAGAGAAGACAUCUUCUUUUAAUCAAAGAAGCAAUCCGGUGAAAGAUGGGCUCGCGUCCGAUUAGCUAGUUGGUAAGGUAAAGGCUUACCAAGGCAACGAUCGGUAGCCGAACUGAGAGGUUGACCGGCCACAUUGGGACUGAGACACGGCCCAGACUCCUACGGGAGGCAGCAGUGGGGAAUAUUGGGCAAUGGGCGAAAGCCUGACCCAGCAACGCCGCGUGAAGGAUGAAGGCCUUAGGGUUGUAAACUUCUUUGAUCAGGGAAGAAAAAAAUGACGGUACCUGAAGAACAAGCCACGGCUAACUACGUGCCAGCAGCCGCGGUAAUACGUAGGUGGCAAGCGUUAUCCGGAUUUACUGGGUGUAAAGGGCGUGCAGGCGGGUUUGUAAGUCAGAUGUGAAAUCUCCAGGCUUAACUUGGAAACUGCAUCUGAAACUACAAAUCUUGAGUACUGGAGAGGAUAGUGGAAUUCCUAGUGUAGCGGUAAAAUGCGUAGAUAUUAGGAGGAACACCAGUGGCGAAGGCGGCUAUCUGGACAGUAACUGACGCUGAGGCGCGAAAGCGUGGGUAGCAAACAGG